RNAcentral lists this transfer RNA (73 nucleotides) under Myotis lucifugus (little brown bat). It matches the Rfam family "tRNA". From Rfam's summary of the family: Transfer RNA (tRNA) molecules are approximately 80 nucleotides in length. Their secondary structure includes four short double-helical elements and three loops (D, anti-codon, and T loops). The record is from Rfam by way of RNAcentral. Lineage: Eukaryota; Metazoa; Chordata; Mammalia; Chiroptera; Vespertilionidae.
ACCGGUGUGGCUCAGUGGAUAGAGCGUUGGCCUGCAGAUUCAAGGGUCCCGGGUUCGAUUCCGGUCAAGGGCA